Long non-coding RNA from Humulus lupulus (European hop), 563 nucleotides. RefSeq lists it as uncharacterized. Lineage: Eukaryota; Viridiplantae; Streptophyta; Magnoliopsida; Rosales; Cannabaceae. The transcript has 4 exons. The record is from RefSeq and is a predicted model, not a curated record.
UAUAGCAGACAGUAGAUAUUGAUUAUCUAAUGACAUGCAGGUUAUAUGCCUUAAGAUCUGUACAAUUUAAACUCAGCAUAUGGUUCUGAGGAGGAACUUAAACACUGCAUUGAAGAAAUGCAUUCUCAAGACCUUUUGGCCUUGGGAGAUGUUGUGCUGAAUCAUCGGUGUGCACAUAAACAGGUGAUAUAUUCCAUGCUGCACCAAACAUCGAUCAUUCCCAGGAGUUUGUAAGAAAAGAUAUAAAAGAGUGGUUAAAUUGGCUUCGAAAUUACAUUGGUUAUGAUGGGUGGCGCCUCGACUUUGUGAGGGGCUUCUCAGGUUCUUAUGUAAAAGAAUAUAUUGAAGCUUCAAAUCCUGCAUUUGCUAUUGGAGAAUAUUGGGAUAGUUUAGGUUAUGAGCAUGGCGACUUGUGUUACAAUCAAGGUAAGAACUUAAGGCCCGAAAGAAAGUCUUCACUUAAGGAUUUUAGCUGUUAUGUUUGCUCAAUGUUGAGAGAUCUGUGUGCAUUCACGUACAGUUUAUUUACCUGCUACCUCACUGUUUUCAGGGUGGCAUUUUUU